This 358-nucleotide unclassified non-coding RNA is filed under the name Hevea brasiliensis (rubber tree). The record is from RNAcentral. Lineage: Eukaryota; Viridiplantae; Streptophyta; Magnoliopsida; Malpighiales; Euphorbiaceae.
GUUUGUGAAUUGCAAUGGUUGUCAUAUCUGCUUAAAGCUUUUCGGCUAACACUCUGCCUGUUUCCCUUUAUUGCGAUAACAAGGAUGCUAUUCACAUUGCCUCCAACCCAGUAUUCCACGAGUGUACCAAGCUUCUUGACAUCAAUUGUCAUAUUGUCCGAGAUCAAAUGACUAAAGGCUUCAUUAAGCCCCAGCACAUCCCUGCGCAUUAUUAGUUGGCGGACAUUUUCACAAAGUGCCUAAGCUCCUCGUCCUUCCAAACACUUGUGUCCAAGCUGGGAUUGAUCGACUUCAACAACUCUCCAAUCUCCAGUUUGGGGGGUGGGGGAGGGAUGAGAAAGUAACAGUAAAAAAGUUC